UCCUACGGGAGGCAGCAGUGGGGAAUUUUCCGCAAUGGGCGAAAGCCUGACGGAGCAAUACCGCGUGAGGGAGGAAGGUUCUUGGAUUGUAAACCUCUUUUCUUAGGGAAGAAGUUCUGACGGUACCUAAGGAAUAAGCAUCGGCUAACUCCGUGCCAGCAGCCGCGGUAAU
RNAcentral lists this ribosomal RNA (172 nucleotides) under uncultured cyanobacterium. RNAcentral describes it as "partial 16S ribosomal RNA". It matches the Rfam family "Bacterial small subunit ribosomal RNA", at positions 337 to 524 of the family's 1533-position model. The record is from RNAcentral. Lineage: Bacteria; Bacillati; Cyanobacteriota.